RNAcentral lists this ribosomal RNA (253 nucleotides) under uncultured bacterium. RNAcentral describes it as "partial 16S ribosomal RNA". It matches the Rfam family "Bacterial small subunit ribosomal RNA", at positions 524 to 776 of the family's 1533-position model. The record is from RNAcentral.
UACGGAGGGAGCUAGCGUUGUUCGGAAUUACUGGGCGUAAAGCGCACGUAGGCGGCUUUGUAAGUUAGAGGUGAAAGCCCGGGGCUCAACCCCGGAAUUGCCUUUAAGACUGCAUCGCUUGAAUCCGGGAGAGGUGAGUGGAAUUCCGAGUGUAGAGGUGAAAUUCGUAGAUAUUCGGAAGAACACCAGUGGCGAAGGCGGCUCACUGGACCGGUAUUGACGCUGAGGUGCGAAAGCGUGGGGAGCGAACCGG